CUCUUUUAAUGAGACCAUUCACAUAUUCACCUAACACACACUGAGUGAUGAUGAGUGAUAUAUAUUAGUCCUCAGAUUUUUUAGCAUGGUGAGGAAAAAAAGCUAUGAUGGCUGUAGGUUGUCCUGUUCAAGAAUAUGUUCGGUAAAAUAAAACUUGUGCCUAAAAAUGGUAGCAGUGUGGCACACUGCUGCAAGAAUUGGUUAUCUGGAUGAAAAUAUUGUGGAAAAGUCAUUUUCACUUGAAGAUGAUCUGAAUUCUCAGGGUAUAUUGAUUAGUACAUUUUGUUAUUGUAUAUAUUUUGUUCUUAAGGAUUAUCCACUAUACUGUAAUCUAAAAAGCCCUUUACUUUUAUUACUAGGGAUUUGAAGCAAACUCAUAUGAGGUUUUGGUGGGAUUUUUUUUACAAAGGGGAAAAAUUAAUUCUGUUUUCCUCUUGAUUUCUCCUUAGAAACUCCUUAGAAACUUGCGACUGAAAAUCAAGCUGUUUUCUGAUGUCAGGGGUACAAAUUUUUGCAGGCAAAUGGAGGCAAACAUGGCACUGAAAUGAAACAGGGUUCAUUUAUGCCCUUUUAAAUUCCAGCCUAAGAUUACAACCCACUUUUACUUACCUGUCAAUUACAGCCCAGUUAAUGUAAUGUUUAUGAAUGUGUACGCUUAGGGUUCAGGUAAAAGGCUGCAUGGGAAGCUGCAAUUAGCUGCAGUGUAUAAUGCAGUCAGAACACCUAAUUCUAAAUGUCUUUACCUGAAAGAAAUCCUCAGUGGAACAUAGUAUUAUGUUUGUGUCCUCAAGGCUUCAACUUAGGAAUUAAUUCAGUCCUUUGUAUACCUUUUUACCUUUAUUACACAGUCUUCUACCCAACUAUCGCUCAGAAUGCGUAUGUGGGAAGCACUCAUUGAUAGCAUCCUCAAGUCACCAUCUCCCUGCAUGUGAAAAAGUUGUUGCUGGCAUCCAUGUGUCUCGAGAGACAAUGGAAUAUGCCUCUGGGGGUGAAGUCAAACCACUGCAUUAGCAGCACUGAAAUUACCCCCCCCCUCCGGUGUAAACCUGGGAAGUGUGUAUGGAGAUCCUGGGCUGCCCAGAUGACAAGACCUCCCUCUUGGCCUUGCAGAUAUGGUCCAAAGGAAAGCAGAGCAAUACUUUGGUACCAGCUGGGUUGCAUGAGUUGCUGAAAGGAGGCGUACAAUGUGCCAUCCAACUCUCUUAGGGACUAUACUCUGGAUUUGUGUAGGGUUUACUCCUUAGCCUUUUCUUUUUCUGUAGAUAUCCCGCAAGGCAGCAGAGGUUUAGGGUCAGAAUUUUUUUCCUCCUAGAUGGAUUAUCUUUCUAGGUUGAUGAGCCCCAUCUGCCCCUAACUUCCCUCUAUAGCAGAAACCACCUUUUUGACCAUUGGACCCACUCUUGGUCUCAUCCCUCCAUUCACCAAAGCCUGUCUUCACAUGCAGGGGGAAGUCCCUAACAAACCAAGGGGCUGAGACUCAUCAGCUAUCCUCACCUGGCUAGUUGAAGCCGUUUCCUGGAAUGUGACCACUGUCACACGCUGACAGCUUCUAGGAGCCACAGGGGAGAGCUGAAUGCAGGGUGGGGACUGAAGAGGGCAAACUACACCAGAAGGAGCAUGGCGUGUCCCCCACCAGAGGUACUACCCCUCACUUAACAUCUGAGCAAAAAGGCUCUGAGUUAUGAAAUCUUAUAUAUAUUUAGGAAAAGAACUAUUAGUACCUAUGCAACUGUUCUAAAUCUGGCAAUAGUCAUGAUGUGUAGGAGGGAGUGAUAUCAUCCCACCAUAGGCUGAUUGUCACCAUAUUUAGAACAUCUGCAUAAGGCUGCUGCUUCCCCCCGUCACUUCCUUUUUUUGCAAUUAGACUAUCAGCACUGUUGCCCAUUGUCUAGCUAAUAUUUGAAAAGUGUGCUUUGAUUUUCAUUCCAGCUUUUUCCAUUAGUACCCUAACAUUUAUACAUCCUGUAACGUUUUAGCGUUAGAAAUGUAGUUCUGAAGUGGAAUCGGUUCAGAUGGGGUACAAGGCCAGCCCAAGGCAUUCGGGUGCUUCAGCCACAUUUCCAUGUUCAUAAGCUGAUCAGACUGGUAGCUGAAUCUCACUUCUACAGUAGCAGUGGAACAGUGUUGAAGCUAGGGUUGAACACUAGCCAUGAAACAACACUUGAGGACAGGAGGCUAUUUUAUUGGUCAAAAGGCACGUUGUGCGGCAUACACAGCUGUCUUCCAGUCUCUCACUGCCACUCUCUGCCCCCUGAAUCUGCUACCUGAGAUCAGUGGCUAAGCCGCAUGCUCCGCUACCGGGGUCGGAGAGCGGGUGGGGAUGUGGCUGGCACCCCCACAGGGGUGUGACGCACAUCCUGGGGGCGUGUAGACCACCCGCAAGGGCGCUGCCCGCAGGUGCAUGGUGCGUGUUCUGGGGGCGUGAUGUGCCAACUGUGGGGGCAUGGUGACCAGGUGUGUGUGCAACGGCUGUCCGGGGGGGGCGCGAUGGCACCCUACCAGAAUAGUGGUGCCGGGGGCGGUCCGCUCCCUCCGCGCCCCCGUUCUUCCGCCAGUGCCUGAGAUGGCUGCUUCACUCUGUCUAAUGAUAGGGACAGCCCUGGGUAUUGUUGAACAGUUCGUUCGUUCCAAGUUCCACCACUACUGUGUCCCUGUACAUGUCUGUAGUACAGCCUAAAGCUGCAGUGUUGGGCUGCUAUAGAUCAGUUCAUAUAUUGUAUGCUAUAACUGGUGUUCAGUUCUGCGUUGAAGGACCUCCCAAAUGCUUUCUAGCUUCUGUUUUGCAUUUAAAGCUUGAAAUGAAAUUGUUCCCUAUUUGCACAAACAAAAUUAAUGAGGCACUUUUCUCUGAUGCCAUCAGAUCUGUGUGUUUUCAGGAGACUGUGUGUCUCUUUGAAGACAAGACAAUUUGACAUGAGGUAAGCCAUGCUACUUUUCUGGCUAGAAUACUGCAAACAUCCGAAUUAAUUGGAUAUAUCUCACAAUUUGGAUCCUAUAGGUUGAUGUAAGAAAAUGAGCAAAAAAUCACUUUUCAUGCAGUAUAGACAUGGACUUUUAGAGGCAUAGAGCAUUUUCCAGAAGCAAUUCAGUUAACCUGAUUCAUAUUGGAAUGGAUAUUUUGAUUUUGAAAUUGGUCCUUUGCAGAUAACGAACCAGGGGUAGCCAACAUGCCUGUUUUUGGACUCCAACUUGUAUCAGCUGCAGCCAAUGGUAAAGGAUAAAAGGAGUUGUAGUCCAGCAACAUCUGAAGGGCAUCAUGUUGACUAUCUCUUUAAUUAACAAUACCGUCCAUAGAAAGACUAAGAAUUGUUAGAAAACACAGAAGAGAGAUGGAUUCACAUAUUUGUUUGCCUGUGUUGCAAAUUAUUACAUGGUGAUAAAUACAGGCAAAUAUGGCACCAAAUGGGAGUGGAUUUAUAGUCUAUCCAGAUCUUUCACUGCUGUUAAGCAAAUCUCUGAUUCUGCUGCAGUAGCUGAAGUGACUUCCUUUCAUAAGCAAGUUACGAAAACUACACAAGACAAUGAAAGUAAGUUUCAAAUAAUGCACACUGGGGCAAAAUAAUAAUUAAAAAAUCCUAAUGUUACAAAUUCACUGAUGGGACCUGAACUGAUGGUGACUUAUCUGGAAAGAGAUCUUGGGUCAGUGGUGGAAAGCUCAAUGAAAAUGUUGACCCAGCAUACAACAGCUAUGAAAAACUCAAAUUCCAUGCUGGGAAUCAUUAAGAAAGGCACAGAAAGGAAAAACUCACAAUACUGUACUUGUCAAUGCCUUUAUCUGUGGUGCAGUCACACGUGGGAUAUUGCACACCAUUCUGGCCUUCUUAUCUCAAAAAGGAUAUUGUUGAGAUCAAGAAGAUGCAGAAAAGAACAGCUAACAUGAUCAUUGGGCUGUAGCAACUCCCUUAUGAGGAAACUUCCCAACUUUGGGGACUUUAUAGUUUGAUGUCAUCCCCCUGCUGGAGGAAUCCUCUUUGCAGAGUGACCUGAAGCACCUAAAGACAAACAUCAUGGAGAAGCUGCCCAUAUCAAGGGACUUCAGAGAUCUGGCAGGAUCUGGCGCUCUCAGGGAACAUGGCAGCCGAAUCUUCUCCUCAAGGCACAGCUCCAUCACAGUAUCGGAGGUGGAAGCUGAGUAGACAUGUGAGUCCUAGGGAGUGCAGGUUCCUGAAGGUGAAAGCUCAGUCAACCACUGGAUGUCGGAGUGCCCACAUAAGGAACAAGGACUCCUCAGAAGAAAAUGAGAUACUCAUGAGUAAGGCAGUCCUCGUGAGCUGACCAAAUCCUCAGGUGACUCCGAUGUCCUGCAGCUGUGCUCUGGGUGGGACUCUGAAGGCUCAGGCUUAAGAGCCUUAUGUUUCAAGCACAGAAUGUGAGAAUUACAUGUGUGCAGCCCUGACAAGUCAUUGGACUCCCUGUGUUUGGGCCCCCAUUUCUUGUGCUGUCUCUGCGCUUUUGACUACCUUUGAAUUUGGUUCUGGUACUGUUGACACUCAGCUGCUUUUCCUGUGCAGCAGGGCAUUUAAGAAAAAGUGAGUAACAGGGUCAUGAUAGAUGUGCACAGAAUUAUUCAUGGCAAAGUGAACUUUGACAGGAGGAGGUAUUUGUCUAGACUAGAAAUUGUUCAAUGAAGCUGAAUGCUAGAAGAUUCAGGGCACACUUCUCCACACAGUACAUACUUAAACUGUGGACUUUAAAGGGGAUUGGAUGAUUUCAUGAAGGAUAAAACUAUCAAUGAUUUUGUCAUGAUGGCUAUGUAUUGCCACCAGAACAAGAGGCCACAUGCCUUUGAAUACCAGAAGAACAGCAGCAGAGGACUCUUGCUGUUCCCUGCCUAUGGGCUUCUCGUUGGCAUCUAGUUGGAAACUUCAGGAAAUGGGAAGUUGGGAUUAGAUAGGCUUUUGGUCUAAUUCAGCAGGUCUCUUUUAUGUUUUUUGUAACAAACCCUAUAAACAAAGAGGCAACAUCCUAUUUUUAUACCACCAUCCUUGAAAAUGCAUUCACAUAGAAACAAGGCUGAGGAAAAGUUGGGUAAGUCAGUUGCUUUCAGUGUUUUCGCAUGGCCCUUUACUAUCUAAAUGUUCACUGUGGAACACACACAAGCACGGAGGAAGAUGGUGUAUUACUGCAUAUACAGUUAAUGUAUCCCAUGACAGCAGAAAAGAAAAUUAUCUCCCCCUCAUGUCAAUUGAAAAGUAGAGCAAGAAGGUGAAGAUACAUUUCUUGGUGUCUUAAUAGGUGAUUACAUAGUAGUCCCUUUUCUCCAGACAUGAAAUACAUGCCUGUUUGAGGUUUGACCUGUAGCAGGUUUGGGUCCCCCUCUGGGGGGAAAAUCUGCGCAUAAAUUGUCUUCAGCCUUAAUGAGCAGUAGAACCAUGCUCUUUUUUUUGUAUUGUAGUCUCAUUUAGUAAUGAGAAAAGUUGUGUGGAAACAGAUCCUUUAUUAUAUCUGCUGAAUUGGUAAUAUACUUUGUAAGGUUAAAGUUUAAGUAUUCAAAGGAGAUGUCUCAAAAAGAACAUCACAUUUCCAAGUUUGUUUCCAAGCUGAUUUAAAACAAAUAAAAGUGAUUAAAUGAACUGUUAGGACUAUAUGGAGAAGGGAGAGGGAAAGGAUCUGGUAUAAUAAUGUACAGGAAUUUGAAAAGAACUGUUAUCAUUUAAGAUAGCAAAAUGUUUCUUUUUUUUUUAAAAAAAAGAAGAAACUACUAAAAUCAGCUACUGAGAAAAAUGCUGGAAGAAAUAAAAAGUGAAAUUGCAAAAUGGCAUGUUUGUCUUUGAUAUGUGUGCAUCUAUAAGCAGUGUCCCACAAGAAUGGGUUGGGUGGUGAAAUGAAUGGAUUUAAAACAGGCCACAACAUUGUUGAAUAAACUACCAGAAGAGCCCUUAUUGCCUAUGUCCCUGAGGCUUGCCAUGACUGCCCUGCCAUUUGACCCCAGAGGCCAUCUUACUUCUGAGCUGUUCCAGAUUAAGCUGUCUUGCUUUUUGGUCAAGGAAGGGGGACCAGCUCGCCCACCUGUCACAGUACUUGUGCACCUGCCAGAGACGGGGCUUCUUUUGCUUGGCUUCCACCCCCCAUCUCCAAACCAGAGCUCAAAACACAGCAAGAACCCCAACAUAGAUCCCACAACAACUCAAUAUAAACAAUGAAAGAGGACAUGAUAUCAAAUGAUAUUUGAGGAAAAUGUCUCAUCCCUAGUCAGAAAGAUGGAUUUGAAAGAAAGAAGGAAAGGUGAAUUUCAUCACACCAGUAAAGUGGUUGUACCUACGUAACUUCUUCUUGUUGUUUGGACACCCACCACCACUAAGAAACUGCAUUGGCAAUUUCAGUAUUUGAUUUAAGUGAAGCUCUCUUCUUGGCCGUAGGAGUCGUUGGACUCGAUGGCCCUUGUGGUCUCUUCCAACUCUAUGAUUCUAUGAUAUCUUGCCCACAUCCCUGGCGUACUUGCCAUUGCCAUGAUCCUUGCCAUGAUCUCAAGACAAAGUCAAAGCUUCAGUAUCUCAGUCAUGCCCAAUCACUUUUGAGAGGCAGUAAACCAGUUGAGACUGAACCCAAGUCAUUAUUUCCCAAAUUAAUCACCAGUUACAUAAGCAGGGGCUCAGGACUUCAACACGCCCAUCAACUCAGGGGACAAAGAAGCCAUAGCAUCUCUCAGGUUUUAAAUCAUUUGAUAUGAGUCAUUCUGCUAAGGUUCCAAGAUGUCAAUGUGCAGCAGUAUGCCUCGCUAUCCAGUACAAGAAGCAGCUAUACUCAAUGACCCACAUCUUUUGGGGGGAAGAAAGCUGCGAAAAAAGAGAGAAAGAAAAACCCAGGCUUAGCAGCCAAAGCUACCUGCAUUCCUAGUUUCCCAAGCCUCAGUCCAAUAUAGGACGAAUAUGUCCUUGAAUGCCAUCGCUACUAAAUCCUAUUGAUGAGGCCAUCAUGACUGCCCUUACGCAAAAAGAACAGAAAACAUUACCAGCAGCAGCAGCCUAGGAACAACCAAAUAGCAAUCACUAUAAUUGCAUAGAAAAGUCAUAGAAAAGGUUAACUCUUCCGCACUUCUUUUACCACUGAACAUCUGAACUUGCUAGUUUUCCUUAAGAUGGUAAAUAGCAGCUGGGAGUGGUGAUUUUUUUUUUUAAAAAAGAAUGUGACAAUAAGGGGAAGGAUUAUAAAUUUGUCUCCCAGUGCCAUGGUGCCAAUCCAGGCUGAACUUUUCAGAAGGCUAUUUGCUAAAACUGAAAGAGACAAUCUAUUGUUGCAUUUAAUUUGACCCCGUACUGAUGCGGGGGGUGUCUUUCCAGCUGAAAUAUAGUUAAUCAUUAGGCAGUAGAUUAGUUUGGUCUGAAUGCAUUAUGGAUGUGCUUUAUUGCUGUUGCGUCAGCAUGGAAAUCUCACAUCUGAAAAUGCAUGGCAUGUUACAAAAGAAACUGGAAGCAGCAGCAUCCGUUCUCAACUGGAUAACAAUUUGCAAAGCACUUGUCAAGAAUAUGACAGACUGUACUGAUAAAGAGCUAUACGUGAUGGCCAUGUUUCUAAGGGUCCCUAUAAAUAGCAAAGAGCUGUGGGAUAUGAAAAGUAUAAGUGGCGAAGCUAUCCAUUUCUGAACAAAAUGUUUUAAGAGGCAAUCUAACAAAGCAACUAUGUAAAAUGACACAUAAACCAAGCACAGGGUGCACUGUAACAAAGACAGGUGAAGUAAUUUUGCCAAUUGAGGCAGAAAAUUCCACAAGUCUCUCCCUGCUUCAAUCCUUGGCAAUAAAAAUACAGAAUUAAAUACUAUAACAGCUGACUGCUCUUUCUUGAUACUCAAAAUCAGCUGCAUUACUCUGCCUUAUUUAUUUUUAAAGCAUUUCUAAACUGCCUAUAUUUUUUAAAAAAAUCUCUUUUAAGUGGUAUGCACUAUGUACCAUAU
Non-coding RNA from Podarcis lilfordi (Lilford's wall lizard), 7891 nucleotides. NCBI's taxonomy places the organism in Eukaryota, Metazoa, Chordata, Lepidosauria, Squamata, Lacertidae. The record is from the annotation of a GenBank genome assembly.